This 253-nucleotide ribosomal RNA is filed under the name uncultured bacterium. RNAcentral describes it as "partial 16S ribosomal RNA". It matches the Rfam family "Bacterial small subunit ribosomal RNA", at positions 524 to 776 of the family's 1533-position model. The record is from RNAcentral.
UACGAAGGGGACUAGCGUUGUUCGGAAUCACUGGGCGUAAAGCGUGCGUAGGUGGUUUGUUAAGUCUGAUGUGAAAGCCCUGGGCUCAACCUGGGAACGGCAUUGGAAACUGGCUUACUAGAGUGCGGUAGAGGGGUGUGGAAUUCCCGGUGUAGCAGUGAAAUGCGUAGAUAUCGGGAGGAACAUCUGUGGCGAAGGCGACACCCUGGACCAGCACUGACACUGAGGCACGAAAGCGUGGGGAGCAAACAGG